UGAGCAACCUGCCCUUGACUUUGGAAUAACAGCUGGAAACAGCUGCUAAUACCGGAUACGACCUCCGAUGGCAUCAUCUGGAGGUGGAAAGCUCCGACGGUCAAGGAUGGGCUCGCGGCCUAUCAGCUUGUUGGUGAGGUAACGGCUCACCAAGGCUUCGACGGGUAGCCGGCCUGAGAGGGCGACCGGCCACACGUGGGACUGAGAUACCGGCCCAGACCUCCGUAGGGAGG
RNAcentral lists this ribosomal RNA (233 nucleotides) under uncultured bacterium. RNAcentral's name for it is "partial 16S ribosomal RNA". It matches the Rfam family "Bacterial small subunit ribosomal RNA", at positions 118 to 347 of the family's 1533-position model. The record is from RNAcentral.